Molecule: non-coding RNA, 712 nt
Organism: Haplochromis burtoni (Burton's mouthbrooder)
Lineage: Eukaryota; Metazoa; Chordata; Actinopteri; Cichliformes; Cichlidae
Source: the annotation of a RefSeq genome assembly
CCAGAGAAAAUAAAAAAAUAAAAAACAAUCAAAAAAAUACAACAUGUUCUAAAAUCCAGCUUCCUCAGUCAUCAUAUGUUGUUGUUAAUGGAAAUCAUGACCUGUAGGCAGACCAGCAGCAUCACAUAUGCUUGCAUCUACAUCCGGAGUGACAAUUUCAUUGAGCAACACUCCCGCCUCCAACUCUUCAUACAACUGUCUCAAACAGGUCAUGCCAAACAGAACGUGGACAUCUUCAUCAUGAGCAAACGACGUCGCCUCAUAUUUUUAUUCUUAUUGCUGUGGGUAUCAGGUCUAACUGAUGGGGGGGAAGUCAAGCAGACCUCCAUACUCUGGAAAAACCAGGGUGAUAAUGUAUCUAUAGAAUGCAGUCAUACCUAUGGCAGUAGCUAUUUCCAAAUGUACUGGUACAGACAGCUGCCUGGAGAACUAAUGAAACAAAUGGUUUUUACUACUGCAAACUCCCAACCUGACUUUGAACCAGACUUCAGGGAUGAAAAAUUCUCAGCCACCAAGACUGACGCUCACAGUGGGACACUGAUAGUGAAGAAUUUGGUGCCAGGAGAUCAAGGCUUGUAUUUCUGUGCUGUUAGUAUGCACAGUGAUACAGCCACACUCAACACUCGUACAAAAACCUCAGAUCAUGAACUGUAGGGGGAUGUCAAGGACCACAAAUACUCACAACUGAACGUGGAUUCAUCGUACCAAUUCA